Non-coding RNA from Callorhinus ursinus (northern fur seal), 1888 nucleotides. Lineage: Eukaryota; Metazoa; Chordata; Mammalia; Carnivora; Otariidae. The record is from RefSeq and is a predicted model, not a curated record.
CCUUCUGGUGCCCCUGGCCCGGGCACCUGGGCCUGGCGACGCUGCGGCCAGCCGAGCGGAGUGAGGAGCCAGAGUGUGUACAUACGUGUAUUGCUUUAACCAGCCGCGUCACCUUCGUCCUGCUCUGGCUUUUGCCUCCUUCACGCCAGCCCGCUGCAGUAGACCCUCCCGUCCGCACCCCUCCCCAUCCCAUCUUCCGGCCCCGCGGCUUCCUGAGGAGACAGGCUCGAGUUCUAGCCACACCUUUAGCCAACCUGGGCUGGUGGAGCGGGCCUUCUUCGUUACAUGUUCUCUCCUACAGGCUUUCACCUUCUGUCCCUGGCACAUCGGGUUGCCCCCUCUCUCGGGGGGCCUGUGUUGUGUCUCUUCCCGGCCCAGCUCCCUUCCCUCCCCUACCCCGCCCCACCCCUGUAACCAUUCUGGCAGCUGGGGGAAACCUGGCCUGGAGGUAGGCCUGGGGGUUCCCAUUAGAGGCCUAGCCUUUUGGUCACCAGAUUUCUUGUCCUGCCUUCUAGAUGCCUCUGAACUACAACCCCAGGGAAACCGUGGCUUUUAAUUUAUACCAACCUGUUUCAGUUCCAACAGAAAGGUAGGGGUGUGUUUGUGCAGGGAAGGGGGCUUGCAGGGGCACCGAGGAGCGUUAUUUUAACACAUAAAGAAAAUGAAGCCAAAUCAAAUGAAUUAAAUUCCUCACACUUUCUCUUCCUGAGGUUUGGUUGGCACAGCAGCAAACGUUGUGGCCUCUCCACUUUGGGUCCAGUGUUUUUAGAAAAAUUGAAUGGCUUCCUGUCAUUGUGGGGCUGGGCUCUUGGCAGAGCAGCCUCGCCUUCCUGGCCGUUUCUUGGUGGGAGAGGAGAACGGGCCUCCUGCCCUCGUCUCUGUCGGCCCAGGGCUCUCCAGGGAGCUCCCGGGUCUCUGUCGCAGCACCAGGCAGCCCUGGAUGUGAGGGGUGGGUGCCAGGCACUGCUGGGCGGUGGGGACGCCACCUCAGAGGUGGACGGCAGCCUACCCUGAUCACUGGCGGGACUGGUUCAGUGCAGAGGCAGUGGGAGGACUUGUUAGCGGCUGGGAAGGGUGGCAGCCCGGGGCUGGGAGCCGGCCAGCUUUGACCGUGGUCCCCUGGAGGAAAAAGCCAGGGUCAUCUGCACUUGAUUACUGUCCCCCUUGGGACACUUCAUCAUUCACCUUUCCCCUAAAAGGAUCACGUAACCUGGGAGUAAUUUAUUUCAACACCAUGAUGUGUUUUAUUAGAUUUCCUUUCCUAGGCGAAUUCCAGGCAAAGCCCUGAUUGGACAAUCACAUCACAGAUCACACUGCAGAUUUUCCAUGUUAUCACUGUUGAUGGGUUUUCAGCCAAUACUGACCUGUCUCUCCACUUCCCCAGACUGCCAAAAGCCUGUGGUUCUCUGGGAGCAGGCCUUCACUGGAACUACCUGACGAGGGCUGUGCUGGGUGACCAGAGGUCCUGUGCAGGACGCAGAGAGCUCGAGACCCCUGGGCGGGCAGCGUUCUCAACUCUGAGCACUCACGUGUCGUCAGUGUGGCAGUGCUUGCAAAUUCAAGCAAUAAGGGGAAGGGGUCCUGGAAGUUUCCAGCCUGGGCUAGAAGACACUAUGGCUCUGGCCACUGGACGUCCAGACCCAGGUGGUGGGGUGAUUUUGGUGACGACAGUGUGCCUGUCCCACUGAGUGUUACACGCAUGAAUAGGGGGUGGGGGUGGGGGUGGGGGGCUCACAGGGCUGGACUGACGUCCUGGUGGACCUGAUGUGAAAUUCCUGUCGAACAACAAAACUUUUAAAUGGUUUGCUAGGAUUAUUUCUGUAUUGAAAGUUUCUAAUUAUGCUUUUUAAAAAAAUACUAAAAAUAAAGGUUCAAGCUGCCAAAUUUU